UUUGUGAGUGUGUUUCUACUAAGAAUAUGAUAAUGUGUUCUUGAAUUUUGUUUAAUACGGAAAUACUUAUUUCUUCUCUAUUUUAGUGCAGUUGGAAUUUGAAAUUACAAUAAUAUUGGUUUUGUGUUCGUUAUGAUGUUUUCUACAAUUCUAUUCUUCAACGCUGUGUCGCUCGCUUGGAAUGGUUACACGGCGCGUGUUAGUAUCAUCUAAUUCUUCGUUACAUUGUCAAUGCUUAUUAUAACCACCUUUACUUAUCCUAAAACUGUAAGUAUAU
Molecule: long non-coding RNA, 277 nt
Organism: Bombus pyrosoma
Lineage: Eukaryota; Metazoa; Arthropoda; Insecta; Hymenoptera; Apidae
Exons: 2
Source: RefSeq, a predicted model, not a curated record